RNAcentral lists this ribosomal RNA (408 nucleotides) under uncultured bacterium. Its description in RNAcentral is "partial 16S ribosomal RNA". It matches the Rfam family "Bacterial small subunit ribosomal RNA", at positions 28 to 526 of the family's 1533-position model. The record is from RNAcentral.
GACGAACGCUGGCGGCGUGCUUAACACAUGCAAGUCGAACGAAGUGGCGAACGGGUGAGUAACGCGUAAUCAACCUGACCUUCAGACGGGGACAACAGUUGGAAACGACUGCUAAUACCGCAUACCUAAGGAGGGGAUUGCGUCUGCUUAGCUAGUUGGAGUGGUAACGCCCCACCAUGGCGAUGAUCAGUAGCCGGUCUGAGAGGAUGAACGGCCACAUUGGGACUGAGACACGGCCCAGACUCCUACGGGAGGCAGCAGUGGGGCGUCUUCCGCAAUGGACGAAAGUCUGACGGAGCAACGCCGCGUGAGUGAUGACGGCCUUCUGGUUGUAAAGCUCUGUUAAUCGGGACGCGGUACCGGAAUAGAAAGCCACGGCUAACUACGUGCCAGCAGCCGCGGUAAUUC